GGAUGUCUCUAUGCAGUUCAGGCUGGCCUUGAGCUCACUUUGUAGCCCAGGCUGGCCUCGAACUCACAACGAUCCUCCUGCCUCAGCCUCCCGAGUGCUGGGAUUACAGGCAUGCGCCACCAUGCCUG
Chinchilla lanigera (long-tailed chinchilla) is the source of this 128-nucleotide microRNA precursor. NCBI's taxonomy places the organism in Eukaryota, Metazoa, Chordata, Mammalia, Rodentia, Chinchillidae. The record is from Ensembl.